RNAcentral lists this ribosomal RNA (527 nucleotides) under Limnonectes bagoensis. Its description in RNAcentral is "Limnonectes sp. be GK-2021 partial large subunit ribosomal RNA". It matches the Rfam family "Bacterial large subunit ribosomal RNA", at positions 1812 to 2569 of the family's 2925-position model. The record is from RNAcentral. Lineage: Eukaryota; Metazoa; Chordata; Amphibia; Anura; Dicroglossidae.
AACAUCGCCUCUUGAAUCUCAUAAGAGGUCCAGCCUGCCCAGUGACACAAUUAAACGGCCGCGGUACCCUGACCGUGCGAAGGUAGCAUAAUCACUUGUUCUCUAAAUAAGGACUUGUAUCAACGGCAUCACGAGGGUUAUACUGUCUCCUCUUUUUAAUCAGUGAAACUGACUUUCCCGUGAAGAGGCGGGAAUAAAAAUACAAGACGAGAAGACCCCAUGGAGCUUUAAACCCAAUAGUAACCUCUAUUUACUACUACUACUUAAUUAAGAAGGUCUGUCUACUGGUUUUAGGUUGGGGUGACCCUGGAGUAAAACUUAGCCUCCAUGACGAAUAGAACUUAUUCUAAUCCCAGAGCUACCGCUCUACGAAUCAAAAUUUUGACGUAAACUGAUCCGCCUAGCGAUCAACGAACCAAGUUACCCUGGGGAUAACAGCGCAAUCCAUUUCAAGAGCCCCUAUCGACAAAUGGGUUUACGACCUCGAUGUUGGAUCAGGGUAUCCCAGUGGUGCAGCCGCUACUAAA